AUUGAACGCUGGCGGAAUGCUUUACACAUGCAAGUCGAACGGCAGCACGGACUUCGGUCUGGUGGCGAGUGGCGAACGGGUGAGUAAUGUAUCGGAACGUGCCCAGUCGUGGGGGAUAACGUAGUGAAAAUUACGCUAAUACCGCAUACGAUCUAUGGAUGAAAGCGGGGGAUCGCAAGACCUCGCGCGAUUGGAGCGGCCGAUAUCAGAGUAGGUAGUUGGUGGGGUAAAUGCCAACCAAGCCAACGAUCUGUAGGUGGUCUGAGAGGACCACCAGCCACACUGGAACUGGGACACGGUCCAGACUCCGACGGGAGGCAGCAGUGGGGAAUUUUGGACAAUGGGCGAAAGCCUGAUCCAGCCAUUCCGCGUGCAGGGUGAAGGCCCUCGGGUUGUAAACUGCUUUUGUACAGAACGAAAAGGUUUCUACUAAUACUAGGAGCUCAUGACGGUACUGUAAGAAUAAGCACCGGCUAACUACGUGCCAGCCGCCGCGGUAA
This 500-nucleotide ribosomal RNA is filed under the name uncultured bacterium. Its description in RNAcentral is "partial 16S ribosomal RNA". It matches the Rfam family "Bacterial small subunit ribosomal RNA", at positions 30 to 523 of the family's 1533-position model. The record is from RNAcentral.